GACGGCUACAAAUACCUAAAGCUUGAGAAAGAAACUUGAAGAUAUUGAUUGAAGUCUGGAUCGAUCUUUGGUAAUGCUAUGAUCAAGAACAACAAGAUCGUGAGCACAGAUCGGCCAGUUCGGUCACUUUUUAAAAGAGAGAUGUUAUAUUGUUAAUUUGUUAUUAUCAGGUAUAAUAAAUACAGAAUAGUUCGUCCAGAGACCAGACAUGUUAUAGUUUCAAUUUUAUGACAGUCUUGUAAUAAUAUUUGUUUAAUAGUGUGUCACCUUCUAUUUCUGGGUUAUUACUUGGUCCCGAAA
RNAcentral lists this microRNA precursor (300 nucleotides) under Arabidopsis thaliana (thale cress). Its description in RNAcentral is "partial MIR172b". The record is from RNAcentral. Lineage: Eukaryota; Viridiplantae; Streptophyta; Magnoliopsida; Brassicales; Brassicaceae.